AACGAACGCUGGCGGCGCGCCUAACACAUGCAAGUCGCGCGGGCGGGCUUCGGCCCGCCAGCGGCGCACGGGUGAGUAACGCGUGGGAACCUGCCCCGGGGCCCGGGACAACCGCGGGAAACCGCGGCUGAUACCGGGUACGCCCCGCGGGGGAGAGGGGCCUCGGCCCCGCCCCGGGAUGGGCCCGCGUCCGAUUAGGUAGACGGCGGGGUAACGGCCCACCGUGCCUGCGAUCGGUAGCCGGUCUGAGAGGAUGAUCAGCCACACUGGGACUGAGACACGGCCCAGACUCCUACGGGAGGCAGCAGUGGGGAAUAUUGGACAAUGGGCGCAAGCCUGAUCCAGCCAUGCCGCGUGAGUGAUGAAGGCCUUAGGGUCGUAAAGCUUCUUUUGUGCGGGAAGAUAAUGACGGUACCGCAAGAAUAAGCCCCGGCUAACUUCGU
RNAcentral lists this ribosomal RNA (443 nucleotides) under uncultured bacterium. RNAcentral describes it as "bacterial SSU rRNA". It matches the Rfam family "Bacterial small subunit ribosomal RNA", at positions 28 to 506 of the family's 1533-position model. The record is from RNAcentral.